Molecule: microRNA precursor, 131 nt
Organism: Pan paniscus (pygmy chimpanzee)
Lineage: Eukaryota; Metazoa; Chordata; Mammalia; Primates; Hominidae
Source: Ensembl
CGGCUGGAAGUGUGAGGAUCUAACCCGGGGGUGAGAGGGUGGAGGCGGCUCUUGUGAUCCAAAGGGACUUGAGACUCACCAGCCACAAGCUGUGAAGGCCCUGUGGGUGCUGGGCCUCUGCUGCGUCCUGC